This 305-nucleotide ribosomal RNA is filed under the name uncultured bacterium. RNAcentral describes it as "bacterial SSU rRNA". It matches the Rfam family "Bacterial small subunit ribosomal RNA", at positions 334 to 650 of the family's 1533-position model. The record is from RNAcentral.
UUUUCCUACGGGACGCAGCAGUGGGGAAUAUUGCACAAUGGGGGAAACCCUGAUGGUGCGACGCCGCGUGGGGGAAUGAAGGUCUUCGGAUUGUAAACCCCUGUCAUGUGGGAGCAAAUUAAAAAGAUAGUACCACAAGAGGAAGAGACGGCUAACUCUGUGCCAGCAGCCGCGGUAAUACAGAGGUCUCAAGCGUUGUUCGGAAUCACUGGGCGUAAAGCGUGCGUAGGCUGUUUCGUAAGUCGUGUGUGAAAGGCGCGGGCUCAACCCGCGGACGGCACAUGAUACUGCGAGACUAGAGUAAU